Molecule: non-coding RNA, 22 nt
Filed under: Arabidopsis thaliana (thale cress)
Lineage: Eukaryota; Viridiplantae; Streptophyta; Magnoliopsida; Brassicales; Brassicaceae
Source: RNAcentral
UGACUACCAAGUGAUUCAGUUG